This 511-nucleotide long non-coding RNA is filed under the name Phoenix dactylifera (date palm). RNAcentral's name for it is "long non-coding RNA (PDAC_LNC022882)". Lineage: Eukaryota; Viridiplantae; Streptophyta; Magnoliopsida; Arecales; Arecaceae. The record is from RNAcentral.
AGGAUUCAAUUCUUAUAAUGGUAAAUGUUUAAACCAACCUGAGCCCAUCUACUAAACGGGCCCAGGUUUUUUGAUCCUCUGCCUUGUUUGACUGGCCAACCUGUCUGGCUCUACAAGUUCUAACUAGAGAAAUUUGGAAUGCCAUCUUCAACAUAUUGUAGUGGUUCAUGUUUUGAUGUCAGUCGUGGGAUUUGUUUUUAGAUCCUUUCUUCAAAAAAGAUUCUGGUCCGAGGAUCUUGUAAGGUUUGAUAUUUGUUGGGUCUUGGUCGAGUCUAAUUUACUUAAGUCCUGAGAUUUUUAAUCUUCUUGUCGAUGCAAGUCACUCAAAAACUAGGACUGAAUGGACACUUCAAAACGUUUUCAUAUCUUGCUUGUGGGAAACCGCUGCUCUAAGAUUGUCGUGCAAAAGCACCAAAAAACAAGAGGGUGGCAACUUGAAUCUAGCAUUACUUGCCUUUUCUCUUAACUAAUUACAAGAAUAUUUUCGAAGCUGCGCAACUAGUAUUAUGUA